AAAAUACUGAACAAGAUUUAAUGCUUUCCCAUUUAUUCAUCGAAAAACAUUCAUGCACGCAACAUUUGAAAAUCACCAAAUAUAUAUAAUAAAAAUAAGGAGACAAACCAAUCCCAUUGGUUCGAAUAAAUCAUACACUACCAGGACAAACACUUAAGCCGACGAAAAAGUUUCGUCGGUCCGUUAGCUUAAUUUGUCAGCUAAGAUCUCGUCAGCUAAGAUUUCGUCGGGAAAAGGUCGUCGGCAAUGACUUUAGCCGACGAAAAAAGAAGACGUCGUUGGCUAUAGUCCCACAGUUUAGCCGACGAAAAACAUGUCGUCGGUUUUUUUCCCAGACUUUAGCCGACGAAACAAUUAAGAUAUUCGUCGGCUAAACCUUAUAAAAAAAUAAAAAAAAUAACUAUAGCCGACGAAAUAUAGUUUGUUUCGUCGGCUAAACCUUAUAAAAAAAUUAAAAAAUAACUAUAGCCGACGAAAUAUAGUCUGUUUCGUCGGCUAAACCUUAUAAAAAAAUUUUUAAAAUAAUUAUAGCCGACGAAACAUACCAUAAUUCGUUAGCUAAACCUAAUAAAAAAAAAUACUAUAGCCGACGAAUAUAGUAUUUAAAUAUCGUUGGCUAAAGUUGUUGGUUUUUGAAAAAAAAAAACUGCAAAAACUUUCGGCCACCUCCAAUCACCACCAAAAUUUGACAGAAUCUUCCUCUCAACAUUUUGAACAACUUUCUAGAAGAAGUCGAAGCCCAAUUCUAAGCCUAAAUAUGUCAAUUGAAUCAAAAUAUAAAAAUCCCCAAUUUUAAACCCUAAAAACUUCAAAUCUUCGAUUCUCCUCACACAGACCGAAUCGUGCUACCAAAUUCUAGGGGAAUAUAGUAUUAAUCAAACUCAACUUAUCCAUAUAUAGAACUCACCAAAUGGUGACGUGAGGAAGGAGAAAUUCGAUCGACACCGAAUCCGAACCGGCGGAGUUUUGGAGCUUGAUUUAUCCCUCCCGACGGCGCCACUCGAUGCACCACCUGUCCAGCAAUGAAGUAGAGACGACGGCGAAGCUUUUGGGACAAGUGUGGCGGUCUCC
This 1071-nucleotide long non-coding RNA is filed under the name Fragaria vesca (wild strawberry). RNAcentral's name for it is "long non-coding RNA (FVES_LNC004573)". The record is from RNAcentral. Lineage: Eukaryota; Viridiplantae; Streptophyta; Magnoliopsida; Rosales; Rosaceae.